This 407-nucleotide ribosomal RNA is filed under the name uncultured bacterium. RNAcentral describes it as "bacterial SSU rRNA". It matches the Rfam family "Bacterial small subunit ribosomal RNA", at positions 509 to 916 of the family's 1533-position model. The record is from RNAcentral.
CAGCAGCCCGGUAAUACGGAGGGUGCAAGCGUUGUUCGGAAUUACUGGGCGUAAAGGGCGCGUAGGUGGUUGCGUCAGUCGGAUGUGAAAUCCCCGGGCUUAACCCGGGAACUGCAUCCGAUACUGCGUGACUCGAGUGCAGCAGAGGGAAACGGAAUUCCUGGUGUAGAGGUGAAAUUCGUAGAUAUCAGGAGGAACACCGGUGGCGAAGGCGGUUUCCUGGGCUGACACUGACACUGAGGCGCGAAAGCGUGGGUAGCAAACAGGAUUAGAUACCCUGGUAGUCCACGCUGUAAACGGUGAGUGCUGGGUGUGGGAGGUGUAAUGCCUUCUGUGCCGAAGCUAACGCGUUAAGCACUCCGCCUGGGGAGUACGGCCGCAAGGUUGAAACUCAAAGGAAUUGACGG